GACGAACGCUGGCGGCGUGCUUAACACAUGCAAGUCGAACGGAAAGGCCCUGCUUUUGUGGGGUGCUCGAGUGGCGAACGGGUGAGUAACACGUGAGUAACCUGCCCUUGACUUUGGGAUAACUUCAGGAAACUGGGGCUAAUACCGGAUAGGAGCUCCUGCUGCAUGGUGGGGGUUGGAAAGUUUCGGCGGUUGGGGAUGGACUCGCGGCUUAUCAGCUUGUUGGUGGGGUAGUGGCUUACCAAGGCUUUGACGGGUAGCCGGCCUGAGAGGGUGACCGGCGACAUUGGGACUGAGAUACGGCCCAGAGUCGUACGGGAGGCAGGAGGGGGGAAGAUUGCACAAUGGGCGGAAGCCUGAUGCAGCAACGCCGCGUGCGGGAUGACGGCCUUCGGGUUGUAAACCGCUUUCGCCUGUGACGAAGCGUGAGUGACGGUAAUGGGUAAAGAAGCACCGGCUAACUACGUG
RNAcentral lists this ribosomal RNA (468 nucleotides) under uncultured bacterium. Its description in RNAcentral is "partial 16S ribosomal RNA". It matches the Rfam family "Bacterial small subunit ribosomal RNA", at positions 28 to 507 of the family's 1533-position model. The record is from RNAcentral.